UAGUUUCAAGCCUAGCAUACCCCUCUGA
Molecule: non-coding RNA, 28 nt
Filed under: Bombyx mori (domestic silkworm)
Lineage: Eukaryota; Metazoa; Arthropoda; Insecta; Lepidoptera; Bombycidae
Source: RNAcentral